RNAcentral lists this ribosomal RNA (253 nucleotides) under uncultured bacterium. RNAcentral's name for it is "partial 16S ribosomal RNA". It matches the Rfam family "Bacterial small subunit ribosomal RNA", at positions 524 to 776 of the family's 1533-position model. The record is from RNAcentral.
UACGUAGGGUGCAAGCGUUGUCCGGAAUUAUUGGGCGUAAAGAGCUCGUAGGCGGUUUGUCGCGUCUGCUGUGAAAACUCGGGGCUUAACUCCGGGCCUGCAGUGGGUACGGGCAGACUAGAGUGCGGUAGGGGAGACUGGAAUUCCUGGUGUAGCGGUGAAAUGCGCAGAUAUCAGGAGGAACACCGGUGGCGAAGGCGGGUCUCUGGGCCGUAACUGACGCUGAGGCACGAGAGCCAGGGGAGCAAACGGG